CUCUCUCUCUCAGAUAAAUAUAUAAAAUUUUCAGGAGAAAAAAAAAAAAAAGAACAUUGGAUUUCAAAAGGUCUUCCCUUUCUGUAAGCACCUGGGUAAGCGGAAUGGCUCUGAAGUCCAGAGCUGUGACAGCUCGGAUGGCAGAGCCACAGAAGGGCUCUGUGAAAGCUCCAGAAGAAGGGCUCCAGAAGAGGAGGCUGGGUCCCCAUGCUGAUUCAUUUCCCAAAGCACGAGAUGUUUCUGCAGACGGAGUGGUGGCUAGUGAAGGAAAACUCUUGGCAGGCGCCAGAUACAGGCGAC
RNAcentral lists this long non-coding RNA (300 nucleotides) under Mustela putorius furo (domestic ferret). RNAcentral's name for it is "lncRNA (ENSMPUG00000030739.1)". The record is from RNAcentral. Lineage: Eukaryota; Metazoa; Chordata; Mammalia; Carnivora; Mustelidae.